AUACGGAGGAUGCGAGCGUUAUCCGGAUUUAUUGGGUUUAAAGGGAGCGUAGGUGGGAUAUUAAGUCAGCUGUGAAAGUUUGGGGCUCAACCUUAAAAUUGCAGUUGAUACUGGUUUCCUUGAGUACGGUACAGGUGGGCGGAAUUCGUGGUGUAGCGGCGAAAUGCUUAGAUAUCACGAAGAACUCCGAUCGCGAAGGCAGCUCACCGGGCCGGAACUGACACUGAUGCUCGAAAGUGCGGGUAUCAAACAGGAUUAGAUACCCUGGUAGUCCGCACAGUAAACGAUGAAUACUCGCUGUUUGCGAUACACUGUAAGCGGCCAAGCGAAAGCGUUAAGUAUUCCACCUGGGGAGUACGCCGGCAACGGUGAAACUCAAAGGAAUUGGCGGGG
This 393-nucleotide ribosomal RNA is filed under the name uncultured bacterium. Its description in RNAcentral is "partial 16S ribosomal RNA". It matches the Rfam family "Bacterial small subunit ribosomal RNA", at positions 523 to 918 of the family's 1533-position model. The record is from RNAcentral.